This is a long non-coding RNA of Amblyraja radiata (thorny skate), 305 nucleotides long. RefSeq lists it as uncharacterized. The transcript has 3 exons. NCBI's taxonomy places the organism in Eukaryota, Metazoa, Chordata, Chondrichthyes, Rajiformes, Rajidae. The record is from RefSeq and is a predicted model, not a curated record.
AGCGGCGAACAGGCAACGCCGGCAAUGAGGUAAGCGGGAAUGUUCAGUCAUUGGAAAAGACGAACUGGGAGGAUGUUCCUGAUGCUGGUGGUGGCCAGCUGUCUGACCUUCGUUGCUAGGUUGGUCUACCUCUCUACAGUCAAUGGGUUCUCUCCGGAAGUUCCCUGCACGCCCAGGAAAGACGUGGCAUUUAUGAAGACCCACAAGACGGCAAGCAGCACUGUGCAGAACCUCCUGUACCGCUACGGAGAUGCCAAGAAUCUCAUCUUCGCUCUGCCCACCCAUGCUCAAUUUGGCUACCCAAA